This 24-nucleotide non-coding RNA is filed under the name Arabidopsis thaliana (thale cress). Lineage: Eukaryota; Viridiplantae; Streptophyta; Magnoliopsida; Brassicales; Brassicaceae. The record is from RNAcentral.
ACGUCCUAUCAAACCCGUCUCGCC